This 437-nucleotide ribosomal RNA is filed under the name uncultured bacterium. Its description in RNAcentral is "partial 16S ribosomal RNA". It matches the Rfam family "Bacterial small subunit ribosomal RNA", at positions 341 to 792 of the family's 1533-position model. The record is from RNAcentral.
ACGGGAGGCAGCAGUGGGGAAUAUUGGGCAAUGGGCGAAAGCCUGACCCAGCAACGCCGCGUGAGGGAAGAAGGUUUUCGGAUUGUAAACCUCUGUCCUUGGGGACGAAGGAAGUGACGGUACCCAAGGAGGAAGCCCCGGCUAACUACGUGCCAGCAGCCGCGGUAAUACGUAGGGGGCGAGCGUUGUCCGGAAUGACUGGGCGUAAAGGGCGUGUAGGCGGCCUUAUAAGUCUGGAGUGGAAGUCCCGCUUUCAAGGUGGGAAUUGCUUUGGAGACUGUAGGGCUUGAGUGCGGAAGAGGUAAGUGGAAUUCCCAGUGUAGCGGUGAAAUGCGUAGAGAUUGGGAGGAACACCAGUGGCGAAGGCGACUUACUGGGCCGUAACUGACGCUGAGGCGCGAAAGCGUGGGGAGCAAACAGGAUUAGAUACCCUGGUA